AACCUCCGCAAUGUGAGAAAUCGCGACGGGGGGAUCCCAAGUGCCAUUCUUAACGGGAUGGCUUUUCAUUAGUGUAAAGAGCUUUUGGAAUAAGAGCUGGGCAAGACCGGUGCCAGCCGCCGCGGUAACACCGGCAGCUCUAGUGGUAACAAUUUUUAUUGGGCCUAAAGCGUCCGUAGCCGGUUUAAUAAGUCUCUGGUGAAAUCCUGUAGCUUAACUGUGGGAAUUGCUGGAGAUACUAUUAGACUUGAGACCGGGAGAGGUUAGAGGUACUCCCAGGGUAGAGGUGAAAUUCUGUAAUCCUGGGAGGACCGCCUGUUGCGAAGGCGUCUAACUGGAACGGUUCUGACGGUGAGGGACGAAAGUUAGGGGCGCGAAACCGGAUUAGAUACCCGGGUAGUCCUAACUGUAAACGAUGCGGACUUGGUGUUGGGGUGGCUUUGAGCUGUUUCAGUGCCGAAGGGAAGCUGUUAAGUCCGCCGCCUGGGAAGUACGGUCGCAAGACUGAAACUUAAAGGAAUU
This 522-nucleotide ribosomal RNA is filed under the name uncultured bacterium. RNAcentral's name for it is "bacterial SSU rRNA". It matches the Rfam family "Archaeal small subunit ribosomal RNA", at positions 345 to 866 of the family's 1478-position model. The record is from RNAcentral.